CAAUAGCGUAUAUUAAAGUUGUUGCAGUUAAAAAGCUCGUAGUUGGAUUUCUGUCGAAAGCAAGUAGCCCGCUCUUUUGAGUGUUGUGCUUACGUCGUUUUUGACAUUUUUCUGUUUUCCCGGUUUAUGUUCUUAAUUGAGCAUAAAAUUCGUGAACAGAACUUUUACUUUGAGAAAAUUAGAGUGUUCUAAGCAGGCUAUUGCCUUGAAUACUGCAGCAUGGAAUAAUAAUAUAGGAUUUCAAUUCUAUUUUAUUGGUUCUAAGGAUUGAAAUAAUGAUUAAUAGGGACAGUUGGGGGCAUUCGUAUUUAACUGUCAGAGGUGAAAUUCUUAGAUUUGUUAAAGACGAACUACUGCGAAAGCAUUUGCCAAGGAUGUUUUCAUUAA
RNAcentral lists this ribosomal RNA (387 nucleotides) under uncultured eukaryote. RNAcentral describes it as "partial 18S ribosomal RNA". It matches the Rfam family "Eukaryotic small subunit ribosomal RNA", at positions 592 to 976 of the family's 1831-position model. The record is from RNAcentral.